GGUUCCUGGGUCGCUUGGCUUCCACGCUGUUCAGUGAGGGGUCUGGGGGGAGGACAGAGCCCCUCCAUCAUCCCCAAGACACUAGAGUCCGAUCCCAUCCGAGGGAAGCAUGUUCCUUGGCCCCUCUGCUUGGCUCAGACAGGGCUCUGUGCUCUGUCUCAGUGCCAGGGGUUGGAUGUAGCUGCCGGUUAUAGUCCCAAACCAGUCACUCCUGCCCGCUCAGUGUGGUGCUCUAUCCCCCCUCUAGUGGUUGAGCCUGCUACAGCCAACUGACAGGGGGUCUCUGCUCUGGCUGCAGAGGCUCCUGCUUUUAGAACCACAAGUCCCGGGUUCAAUCCCCACUGAGGAUGAUUCACCCAGGGGCAUGGCAUCACUCUAGCCACUUGCCUUUUCUCACUGCCAUUUCCUACCCUCCUUCCCUGGACAGAGGAGGGGAAAGCAGUCUCAGUUAAGGCAGAGGUGUGGGGGGCAUAGGGGCUCAGGAAGAGGGUGUGGGGAGCAGCAGGCUCGGUGCCGCCACCUAGUGUGUGCAGGAGGUAGGUGGAGAGAGGGGUAGCAGCAGCCUGUGUUCUCGCCAAUGCCAGGGCUGGGCAUAGCAGAAAAGACCCCUAGCAGCGAGGCGGCUGAUGCUACGAUGCAGGGGAUAUGGUGGAAGUGGAGCUGGGCUGCUCUCCCGCCUCACCCCGCUGGGUGGCGCAGGGGAGCUGUACAUAUCUAUAAAUAGCCCUGUAACCAUUCUUCCUGUGUAACUCCAAAUGCCAGGUUUUUAAUGUCUUUGUGACUCUUUGCAUUAAACAAUCUGUUGUGCUUGGACUUGACUUGAGCUAGGUGUGGGGCUCCUCCCUCCUGAGGAGCAGGUCCUCCCUGCAGAUAUCCAGCAGAUCCCGAUCCACCUUCCCCAAUUGGGCCUUUUCUUCUCUUGAGGCCACCCCAGUCUCCCCUUCUUCUAUCAGGCCUUGGGCCCAAGGCUCUGUCGGCCAGCCUAUCUCGGUAGCUGUGCCUGCAAUGGAUGUCUGGCUGUUCAGCCAGCUGGACCAACCUGCUCCUUCCUAGCUUGCAGCUGUGGCUGCUCCACCCUUAGCCCUUCUUAGACACAAGGUUUUUCUCCUUUGCCCAUUACUCUGAGCCGGGCAGAGUUUCCAGUGUACUCAGCUCGCCCGUGGGUCUGUUCAUACAGCCGAUCCCCAUGCAGGCCAGCCAUGACCACAGCCAGGUGCUAGCACAGCGGGUGAGGUGGGGACAAGGGCAGACAUUAGAAGGUUCGGGUCACAAAGGGUGGGGAUGAGUUAUUGAUCCCUCUCUACAUGGCUCUGGUGGGAUGUGCCCUGUCUUGCUGGGUCCAUGGCUGGAUAAAAUGGUAGUUCUGACCAGAACAGCAUGGGUGAUCAGGGGGCUGGAGAGAUUGACAGACGAGGGAGGCAAGGAGCAUCGCUAGGCUAAGUGUCCACUGAAGCUGGGGUGGGGACUACAUGUCCCCAGUGAAGAGGAGGGUGAGGUGGCCAGUGGGCUGGUGUCUUAAAGGUGCUUAGCUAAUGUCAAGGAGCAGAGCCAGCUCUGGAGAGCCUAACGAGCACAGCUGGCCUGCAGUGGGCUGCUUCAUUGGCUACCCUGCCUGAUUGGUGGCAAGAGUCAGCAGACCAGCUCUUAAACCCAGCAGCUGUUUGGUUGCUGCUCAAAGCAUCCGCCCACAGCUGUGAUAGCUUCUGGGUGCACUUGUGCCCAGCCCUGCUCCUGCCUUGGACCCAGCCCUGCUCCUGCUUUGCCUUAUCCAGUUCUGACCCUGGGCUCCUAUUCCUGGCUCCCAACUCCUGUACUAACCACUAGGUGUGACUCUCACUCCAGCCAGUAGGCAUGACCGCCCACAUCUGACAACGAAGAGGAAUAGGGUGAAAGCAAGUGUGGGAAAUCUGCUUUCAUGGGAAACCUAUAAGCCUGUGGAGGGGCCUCCUAAGGGAAGCAGGGGAAGGCUUGUGUGGGCCAUUUGUGGGCAUGAGGCCCUGAGAGUGACUAGACUGCGGGGCACUGUCCCAGCUUGUCAGGACCCGCGGGCUAGCUCCGCUUGUAGUGCUGUGGCUGCCAUUGACGCAAGUUCGCUGUGUGAAACUCGUCUCCUGCUGUCAGUGCUGUGGGGGCUGGCAGGGCUGCCAAUUGCCUGCCUCUGGCUCCUUGGCCUUCCUGUACCAGCCGCAUGACUGAGGCAGGCUAGAGCAAGGAACUAAACGUGGAUUAAAAAGAUGAGGAGGAGGGAGGUCGCGGUGCUAGUGAAUGUGGCUGCUGGUGCUUUGAGGUUGGGGUUAUACCUGAACCAGGCUCUGUCUUCAGAGCCCCUCUGAUGCAGUCCCACUCCCUUUCCUGGAUCUUCCAGCAUAUGGCUGCUGCAGUCACGGACCAGCCCUUUCCUGCUCCCGCUAUCUCUGCUGCGGUUGGGGGCCAUGGAGGAGCCGUUGUUUCUGGCUCAGGCAGCAGCCGGGGAGGUGUCAGCCAGCGCAGGCUUCCAGAAUGUUUUGCUGUUGGCGAAACUGACAGAAUCGAUUUGGCAACCCGGCUCGUGCUGCCAGCAAAAACGGAAAUCUGCUUUGCCCUCGAGCCAGAGCCCUUUUGAUGGGAGGAGGAAUGGAUGUGGAAAGGGGUCUGGGGCACUAGUGCAUCUCGGUUUCUCCUGUUCUGACCCUGUGACGCAGCCUGUGGUCUCUGGCUGGUUGGUGGGGGCUGUGUGCGGAUGCUGGUGGCCUUUGAUGACUGCUCCCUCCUGUUCUGCUCAUAUGCCUCACUCCCACGUGCAGCACCUUGCGCUGAUCCUGCCCGGCCCACUCGUGCUUUGCCAAUGCACCUGAAGUCUGCACCGAGGGCUCAUUCCAGGCCCGCCACAGCACCCUGGUGAGGGGCUACACGCCUGGCCUCCAGCUCUCUGUAAUUCCGGCCACGGCUUCUUUCUCAGCUGAGAGUGCCAGUGGUGCCAAACUCAGGUUUGGGCAAGGGCCCAGCGGGGGACUUUUGUCUCUUGGGAUCUUGCUCCAUGGCCCAAGGCAGGGCUAUGAGCGCAGUGUCUGGCUCUCAGGGCUGGGAUUUGUUUCUCAUUGACACUCUUCCAGCAGCUGGCUCCACUCUGUUAGUUGCCAAGAUCCACGUGUGUCUAACAAGAUCUUUGCACCCCCUUGCUGCCUCUUUCAAACUGCUGGCAGAACAAGGAGCCUGGCACUUCAUAAACUAAACAGAAAGAUCGAUGGUCUUUGCAACUCUCUGGACUGGGUAUUUUCCAGCUCUGUGAUCGCUCAAGUUCUAAUUCAGCCGGGCGAUGGAAGAAAUGGGAGUGGCUGGACAGGGAGCCAUGGGUAGGCUUGCUGGAGAGAAAUUGGCAUUUUGGGGCUGCUGGAAUGGAAUUUCCCUCACUCCCUGCCAAAGCGAUACCCAGAGAU
This is a long non-coding RNA of Dermochelys coriacea (leatherback sea turtle), 3416 nucleotides long. RefSeq lists it as uncharacterized. The transcript is spliced from 3 exons. Lineage: Eukaryota; Metazoa; Chordata; Testudines; Dermochelyidae. The record is from RefSeq and is a predicted model, not a curated record.